RNAcentral lists this ribosomal RNA (796 nucleotides) under uncultured Bacillota bacterium. Its description in RNAcentral is "bacterial SSU rRNA". It matches the Rfam family "Bacterial small subunit ribosomal RNA", at positions 1 to 799 of the family's 1533-position model. Lineage: Bacteria; Bacillati; Bacillota. The record is from RNAcentral.
AGGAGAGUUUGAUCCUGGCUCAGGACGAACGCUGGCGGCGUGCCUAACACAUGCAAGUCGAACGGAACUAUUUUGACAGAUUCCUUCGGGAUGAUGGAUUUUUAGUUUAGUGGCGGACGGGUGAGUAACGCGUGAGUAACCUGCCUCUAAGAGGGGAAUAACGUUCUGAAAAGAUCGCUAAUACCGCAUAACAUAUUGAAGCCGCAUGACUUUGAUAUCAAAGAUUUAUCGCUUAGAGAUGGACUCGCGUCCGAUUAGCUAGUUGGCGGGGUAACGGCCCACCAAGGCGACGAUCGGUAGCCGGACUGAGAGGUUGAACGGCCACAUUGGGACUGAGACACGGCCCAGACUCCUACGGGAGGCAGCAGUGGGGGAUAUUGCGCAAUGGGGGCAACCCUGACGCAGCAACGCCGCGUGAAGGAUGAAGGUUUUCGGAUUGUAAACUUCUUUUGUUAGGGACGAAAAAUGACGGUACCUAACGAAUAAGCUCCGGCUAACUACGUGCCAGCAGCCGCGGUAAUACGUAGGGAGCAAGCGUUGUCCGGAUUUACUGGGUGUAAAGGGUGCGUAGGCGGCCGAGUAAGUCAGAUGUGAAAUCUAUGGGCUCAACCCAUAAACUGCAUUUGAAACUACUUGGCUUGAGUGAAGUAGAGGCAGGCGGAAUUCCCUGUGUAGCGGUGAAAUGCGUAGAGAUAGGGAGGAACACCAGUGGCGAAGGCGGCCUGCUGGGCUUUAACUGACGCUGAGGCACGAAAGCGUGGGUAGCAAACAGGAUUAGAUACCCUGGUAGUCCCCU